This 80-nucleotide small RNA is filed under the name Drosophila guanche. Lineage: Eukaryota; Metazoa; Arthropoda; Insecta; Diptera; Drosophilidae. The record is from RNAcentral.
GCGGCUGCUGCUGCUGCUGCGGCGGCUGCUGCUGCUGUUUAAAUUGGACAGUGAACUGCUGCUGCUGCGGCGGCUGCUGC